UAGUGGCGAACGGGUGCGUAACACGUGGGCAAUCUGUCGUAAAGUGCGGGAUAGCUCGGCGAAAGCCGGAUUAAUACCGCAUGUGAUCAGCUAAGACAUCUUAGCGAAAUCAAAGCCGGGGCAACCUGGCGCUUUUUGAGGAGCCCGCGGCCUAUCAGCUUGUUGGUGAGGUAACGGCUCACCAAGGCUAUGACGGGUAACUGGUCUGAGAGGACGACCAGUCACACUGGGACUGAGACACGGCCCAGACACCUACGGGUGGCAGCAGUCGAGAAUUUUUCUCAAUGGGGGAAACCCUGAAGGAGCGACGCCGCGUGGAGGAUGAAGGUCUUCGGGUUGUAAACUCCUGUCAUUUGGGAACAAGGUGCAUACGUUUACUGCGUGUGCAUUGAUAGUACCAGAAGAGGAAGAGACGGCUAACUCUGUGCCAGCAGCCGCGGUAAUACAGAGGUCUCAAGCGUUGUUCGGAUUCAUUGGGCGUAAAGGGUGUGUAGGUGGCGCCGUAAGUCGGGUGUGAAAUUUCGGAGCUUAACUCCGAAACUGCAUUUGAUACUGCGGUGCUUGAGGACUGGAGAGGAGACUGGAAUUUACGGUGUAGCAGUGAAAUGCGUAGAUAUCAUAAGGAAGACCAGUGGCGAAGGCGGGUCUCUGGACAGUUCC
RNAcentral lists this ribosomal RNA (660 nucleotides) under uncultured bacterium. RNAcentral's name for it is "bacterial SSU rRNA". It matches the Rfam family "Bacterial small subunit ribosomal RNA", at positions 93 to 740 of the family's 1533-position model. The record is from RNAcentral.